UUUUUUACCUGAAAGAGAAGACACCAUGGUCACAGAAGGUGGAUUUUCCAUGACGAAGCUAAUCCUUUGCAUUCCAGAUGUUCUGAUCCCUGUAAUUUUCCCUAGUGAAGGAACCACUACUGCCUUUUUGGUAGUAGGAGAUUGUUUGCAUCCUCCCC
RNAcentral lists this small nuclear RNA (158 nucleotides) under Struthio camelus australis. RNAcentral describes it as "U1 spliceosomal RNA (ENSSCUG00000019027.1)". It matches the Rfam family "U1 spliceosomal RNA". From Rfam's summary of the family: U1 is a small nuclear RNA (snRNA) component of the spliceosome (involved in pre-mRNA splicing). The record is from RNAcentral. Lineage: Eukaryota; Metazoa; Chordata; Aves; Struthioniformes; Struthionidae.